RNAcentral lists this ribosomal RNA (266 nucleotides) under Minisyncoccota bacterium. Its description in RNAcentral is "partial 16S ribosomal RNA". It matches the Rfam family "Bacterial small subunit ribosomal RNA", at positions 1 to 279 of the family's 1533-position model. The record is from RNAcentral. Lineage: Bacteria; Bacillati; Minisyncoccota.
UUUUAUUCGAGAGUUUGAUCCUGGCUCAGGAUGAACGCUGGCGGUGUGCCUUAGGCAUGCAAGUCGAACGAGAAGCUACUCUUCGGAGUAGUGGACAGUGGCAGACGGGUGAGUAACGCGUAGGAAUCUACCCUUUAGUGGGGAACAGCCUCGGGAAACCGGGAAUAAUACCGCAUGUGAUCGCAAGAUCAAAGACUUCGGUCGCUAAAGGAGGAGCCUGCGUCCUCUCAGGUAGUUGGUGAGGUAACGGCUCACCAAGCCAACAA